GUAUCCCCCUUUCCCUACACAACUGACUAGGUAUCCCCCUUUCCCUAUACAACUGACUAGGUAUCCCCCUUUCCCUACACAACUGACUAGGUAUCCCUCUUUCCCUAUACAACUGACUAGGUAUCCCCCUUUCCCUACACAACUGACUAGGUAUCCCCCUUUCCCUAUACAACUGACUAGGUAUCCCCCUUUCCCUAUACAACUGACUAGGUCUCCCCCUUUCCCUUAUCAGGGAUCUAACGUGUAGUUCUUCAAAGGGACAUCUGGGUAGAUAGUAGAAUACAGCUUGGCGUACUGUAUGUUUUAAUAUAUUAUGUGUAUGACAUUUAGCAGACACUUUUCCAAAGCAACAUACAUUUCUACGUAUGGGUGGACCUGGGAAUCGAACCCACAAUCCUACUGUUGCAAUCGACAUGCUCUGUCAACUGAGCCAUACAGAACCAGCUUGUUAUAUUGUAGGUUCAGACAGGACCAGUUUGUUAUAUUGUAGGUUCAGACAGGACCAGUUUGUUAUAUUGUAGGUUCAGACAGGACCAGUUUGUUAUAAUGUAGGUUCAGACAGGACCAGUUUGUUAUAUUGUAGGUUCAGACAGGACCAGUUUGUUAUAAUGUAGGUUCAUACAGGACCAGUUUGUUAUCGUUUUGGUUCAUGCCUUUUUGUUCAUACAUAGAUGUGUACAAGUAGUGUGUGUGUGUGUGUGUUCGGGUGUCAGGAAAUUGAGCUCAGCAGGGCUCUGCGUGCCAGUCCUCAGUCCUAGCCUGUGGCUGGUGUCCUGGUGUCAGCAGCAGGAGGAAAUCCUCUGACAGAUCAGCUCCCUGCAGCAGGGAAGAGGCCAGGCCACAGGGUGUGUGUAUGUGUGUGUGUGUGUUGACAGAUCAGCUCUCUGAAGCAGGGAAGAGGCCAGGCCACAGGGUGUGUGUAUGUGUGUGUGUGUGUUGACAGAUCAGCUCUCUGAAGCAGGGAAGAGGGAAGA
Long non-coding RNA from Oncorhynchus tshawytscha (Chinook salmon), 974 nucleotides. Lineage: Eukaryota; Metazoa; Chordata; Actinopteri; Salmoniformes; Salmonidae. The record is from Ensembl.